Ictalurus punctatus (channel catfish) is the source of this 2906-nucleotide long non-coding RNA. RefSeq lists it as uncharacterized. The transcript has 3 exons. The record is from RefSeq and is a predicted model, not a curated record. NCBI's taxonomy places the organism in Eukaryota, Metazoa, Chordata, Actinopteri, Siluriformes, Ictaluridae.
GAAGAAAGUGGAAAUAAAGACCAAGGACGGAGAUAUCUGUUUAAUUAAGGACAGGACUGGAAGGACGAAUUUAAUUAAGAAAUAGUAAGUUACAGGGAGACAGCAGGUGGCAGUACUGCAACAUUAUGGAUGCCAACUGCCUUAAAACACCAAAGAAGAAGAAGAAACUAGUUUAAUAGAGAACAGGUGGGCCUAAUCAUGGUUGAAGACUGAAUUAUCUUUGAGGCCUGAUUUGUGAUGGAGGGUGGUGGGCGUCGGAGACUGAGGUUUUCAUCCAGGAUUGACAUCAUCGUGUUUUAUUCCACAGGAUGGAUUUAAGCCUGGGAAUUGUGUUUUUCCCUAUUUCUUUCCUCAUCCGGGUUUGUGAACUCUGCUGUGUGGUUUCCACUUGGUCUGGAUUUUUGAACAAAACCCUGGAGUUUUUUUGGUGAAAGAUGAGUACUCGCUCAAGCUGCACAUGUAGUUGGAAUUGGAGGGUGUGGAGAAACACAUCUGCGACCUACUCAACAUGCAGGUCCAGCUGCGUGAAUGACGGAGGUGCUAGAAAUAUCUUGCGCUAUUACCUACAAAUCUAAGGUAAGCAUGCAGUGUGCUACUAUCACUCCCAGCAAGGACCAUGCACCCAGGACGUAUCCAGUCCAGGUCUCCCUCACUCCGGUGCUGACACACCACUGACCUUGAGUGCACCAGCAGCGGAAGGUGUGGGCCAGACCCUGGCCAAGGACCUCUCCCCUUCCGCUGCCCCCCGACUUUGAGAUCCCCAUCAGGAACUGCUUCGCCUCUCUGUGAGAAGAAACCGAGCGCUGUGAUUAUCGGAGACUCCAUUGGUCAGAACGUCUGAGGUGUCACCUUGUCUAAAGGUGAGGUGUGUGCGCACACUGUUUCUGGUGCUCGUGUUCUUGAUGUCGCUGUGCAGGUAUCCGUGAUCCUGACGAAAGACGAGAGCAUCGGCGCUGACGUGCUGCAUGCAGGAGUGAAUAUCGGGCUGUGGCAGACGGAAAUCCUGAAGAGGGACUUUGGCAGCCUCAUGGAGACGGUACAAAGCAGAUCGCCCGCGAUGAAGAUCGUGUCUGGACCCCUCCACACAUACAAACGUGGACUUGAAAGGUUCAGUAGACACUUUGCCUUAAAUGAGUGCUUAAUAUCUUGGUGUAAUGAACAGAAUCUGCUCAUUGUUAAUAAAUGGUAUCUUUUCUGGGAGUGUCCUAGGUUGUUCUGUGCUGAUGGCCUGCACCCCAGCAGCCUCAGGGAGGAACUCCUGUCAGACUUCAUGUCCAAGAUGCUACACACAAUGUGACACCAUGUGAACUUCCAACAUCAGCAUUUGUAGUCCAUCCUAUUGAGACUCUGUUCCCCGAGUUAAACCAAUACAUCGAAAUUUUCAGAAAGCUUGUUUUCCUGUUGCUCAUCUAUAGUCAUAUUCUAGGCACCACACAAAAACCUAGUCAUAAAUUCAACCCCUUUGGAGUUCUUUAUACUAGUAUGACACAUGUAGCCACAAAAAUAAGUCGAUUCCACUAAUGAUUAUUUACAGACCCCAAGGUCCAUAUUCUGAAUUCCUUGAUGAAUUUGCAGAUUUAAUGUUGGACCUGUUUGUUUCUCUAGACAAAGCAUUAAUCAUUGGCGAUUUUAAUAUUCAUAUUGAUAACCCAAAAGACCCUCUAACAGUGGUUGUGUCCAUUCUAGAUUUAGUAUAGGUCAAUCAGAACGUAAUAGGACCCACUCAUAAUGGUGGUCACACUCUUGACCUGACACUAACAUAUGAAUUAAAUAUAGAAAUUUUUUUUGUCACAUUUCUGCAGAUCAUUAUCUCCUCUUGUUUAAAUUGACAUUGAAAUUGAUGCACAUCGCCAUGCUACCGUGUAAAACAUACGUUCACACAGGAAGAGAGGGAAUUGUGGUGGCGUUUGGGUGAGAAUCAGACGGACUGUUGCUUCCUCCAUACAAUCGAUGGAGUUUCCCUUGGUUACUAUAAGCUUGGAGGGACUCCACUUGACGUGACGAUCAUGGGAUUACAAAUAGUUUUUUCAUCUGCCUAUUUUCCCGGACUUCCUACACUCAUCUAAUUGCUCUGCUCCUCCACGAUUCUGGAUUCGUCAGAGAAGAGUGAACUGUUUAAAUCUCUGCCAACUGGAAUUCGUUUCACCAGAUCUGACCUAGUUACCUCAGUCUCCUCUGAAUAUGGCCCUAGUUAAUGCUAGGUCCAUGUGCAACAAAACUUAUUUUAAAUGACUUUUCUGCCAGACAUAACUUGGAUGUUUUAUUCCUGAAGGAGACCUGGGUUAGUCCUGGUGAGUCAACAGUCUUCGAGGAACUGUCUGCCGAAGUGUUUUAUUAGUACUCCAUGGUCUGCUGGCAAAGGCGGUGGGGUUGCUAUGGGCUUUAAACAGUCACUUAAUGUAUGGACGGUUUCUGUUGGGAUUUACUUCUCGUUUGAGGUACAGUGUGUUGCGUUAGAGUCGACCUCUUCCGUGCUUUGAUCUAUAGGCCACCUAACCUGGCUUUUUUUUUUGUUGUUUUUUUUUUUAUAUAAAUGUGGUUCUUUUUGUAACUUUUGUUUUAUUUUUUUUAACUUCUAUUGUUCUUUUCUAUGAACGCAUGUUAUUGGGUGAUCUUAAUGUGCAUGCCUGCUGCCCUGAUCUACCCUUGGUUACUCAAUUUUGUAAUAUCUUGGAUUCCUUAUUCAACACAUAAAUCGGGCAACACAUGCCCUUGGUCAUACUCUAGACCUUAUAUUUUCAUAUGGAAUUGCUGUUGAUGUUAUUGAAAAUGCUUCCUUCUCUGAUCACAAGCCCACUGUUUUUCACUUUUAAUAUCUGUGAACUGUGAUAUUUUUGUAAAGCUGCUUUGAGACAAUGUCUAUUGUAAAGAGCGCUAUACAAAUAAAAUUGAAUUGAACAAUCUUA